AUCGGAACACAGGUGCUGCAUGGCUGUCGUCAGCUCGUGUCGUGAGAUGUUGGGUUAAGUCCCGCAACGAGCGCAACCCUUGUCCUUAGUUGCUACGCAAGGGCACUCUAAUGAGACUGCCGGUGACAAACCGGAGGAAGGUGGGGAUGACGUCAAGUCCUCAUGGCCCUUAUGGGUAGGGCUUCACACGUCAUACAAUGGUCGGUACAGAGGGUUGCCAAGCCGCGAGGUGGAGCCAAUCCCACAAAGCCGAUCGUAGUCCGGAUUGUUCUCUGCAACUCGAGAGCAUGAAGUCGGAAUCGCUAGUAAUCGCAGGUCAGCAUGCUGCGGUGAAUACGUUCCCGG
This 345-nucleotide ribosomal RNA is filed under the name uncultured bacterium. Its description in RNAcentral is "bacterial SSU rRNA". It matches the Rfam family "Bacterial small subunit ribosomal RNA", at positions 1026 to 1377 of the family's 1533-position model. The record is from RNAcentral.